Non-coding RNA from Eptesicus fuscus (big brown bat), 68 nucleotides. Lineage: Eukaryota; Metazoa; Chordata; Mammalia; Chiroptera; Vespertilionidae. The record is from RefSeq and is marked provisional.
CGGAACUGGGGUUCAGUGCAGUCGGAACUGGGGUUCAGCUUCCUUCUCCCUCCUGCCAGAGAAAGCCA